GUGCUCACUUGACAGCAUAUAUACUAAAAUUUAACAAUACAGAGAUUAGCAUCUCCCCUGCACAAGGAUGACAUGCAAAUUCAUGAAGCGUUCCACAUUUUG
This is a small nuclear RNA of Cebus imitator (Panamanian white-faced capuchin), 102 nucleotides long. The record is from Ensembl. Lineage: Eukaryota; Metazoa; Chordata; Mammalia; Primates; Cebidae.